Sorex fumeus (smoky shrew) is the source of this 109-nucleotide small nuclear RNA. The record is from RefSeq and is a predicted model, not a curated record. NCBI's taxonomy places the organism in Eukaryota, Metazoa, Chordata, Mammalia, Eulipotyphla, Soricidae.
GCUGCUCGCUUUGGCAGCACAUAUUACUAAAAUUGGAAUGAUACAGAGAAGAUUAGCAUGGCCCUUGCGCAAGGAUGAUAAAACAUAAAUGUAUGUGGUUUAACGUCAU